This 484-nucleotide ribosomal RNA is filed under the name uncultured bacterium. Its description in RNAcentral is "partial 16S ribosomal RNA". It matches the Rfam family "Bacterial small subunit ribosomal RNA", at positions 30 to 507 of the family's 1533-position model. The record is from RNAcentral.
AUUGAACGCUGGCGGCAGGCCUAACACAUGCAAGUCGAGCGGAUGAAGGGAGCUUGCUCCUGGAUUCAGCGGCGGACGGGUGAGUAAUGCCUAGGAAUCUGCCUGGUAGUGGGGGAUAACGUCCGGAAACGGGCGCUAAUACCGCAUACGUCCUGAGGGAGAAAGUGGGGGAUCUUCGGACCUCACGCUAUCAGAUGAGCCUAGGUCGGAUUAGCUAGUUGGUGGGGUAAAGGCCUACCAAGGCGACGAUCCGUAACUGGUCUGAGAGGAUGAUCAGUCACACUGGAACUGAGACACGGUCCAGACUCCUACGGGAGGCAGCAGUGGGGAAUAUUGGACAAUGGGCGAAAGCCUGAUCCAGCCAUGCCGCGUGUGUGAAGAAGGUCUUCGGAUUGUAAAGCCCUUUAAGUUGGGAGGAAGGGCAGUAAGUUAAUACCUUGCUGUUUUGACGUUACCAACAGAAUACGCCCCGGCUAACUUCGUG